This 496-nucleotide ribosomal RNA is filed under the name uncultured bacterium. RNAcentral's name for it is "partial 16S ribosomal RNA". It matches the Rfam family "Bacterial small subunit ribosomal RNA", at positions 28 to 507 of the family's 1533-position model. The record is from RNAcentral.
GAUGAACGCUGGCGGCGUGCCUAAUACAUGCAAGUCGAGCGAACGGAUAAGGAGCUUGCUCCUUUGACGUUAGCGGCGGACGGGUGAGUAACACGUGGGUAACCUACCUAUAAGACUGGGAUACUUCGGGAAACCGGAGCCAAUACCGGAUAAUAUUUCGAACCGCAUGGUUCGAUAGUGGAAGAUGGUUUUGCUAUCACUUAUAGAUGGACCCGCGCCGUAUUAGCUAGUUGGUAAGGUAACGGCUUACCAAGGCGACGAUACGUAGCCGACCUGAGAGGGUGAUCGGCCACACUGGAACUGAGACACGGUCCAGACUCCUACGGGAGGCAGCAGUAGGGAAUCUUCCGCAAUGGGCGAAAGCCUGACGGAGCAACGCCGCGUGAGUGAUGAAGGUCUUCGGACCGUAAAACUCUGUUAUUAGGGAAGAACAUACGUGUAAGUAACUGUGCACGUCUUGACGGUACCUAAUCAGAAAGCCACGGCUAACUACGUG